RNAcentral lists this transfer RNA (72 nucleotides) under Spirochaetota bacterium. Its description in RNAcentral is "Spirochaetes bacterium tRNA-Trp". It matches the Rfam family "tRNA". Rfam says of the family: Transfer RNA (tRNA) molecules are approximately 80 nucleotides in length. Their secondary structure includes four short double-helical elements and three loops (D, anti-codon, and T loops). Further hydrogen bonds mediate the characteristic L-shaped molecular structure. tRNAs have two regions of fundamental functional importance: the anti-codon, which is responsible for specific mRNA codon recognition, and the 3' end, to which the tRNAs corresponding amino acid is attached (by aminoacyl-tRNA synthetases). tRNAs cope with the degeneracy of the genetic code in two manners: having more than one tRNA (with a specific anti-codon) for a particular amino acid; and 'wobble' base-pairing, i.e. permitting non-standard base-pairing at the 3rd anti-codon position. Lineage: Bacteria; Pseudomonadati; Spirochaetota. The record is from RNAcentral.
AGGCACGUAGUGUAAUGGUAACAUGCCGGUUUCCAACUCCGUGUGUUGAGGGUUCAAGUCCUUCCGUGCCUG